RNAcentral lists this long non-coding RNA (1081 nucleotides) under Anas platyrhynchos platyrhynchos (common mallard). Its description in RNAcentral is "lncRNA (ENSAPLG00000027167.1)". The record is from RNAcentral. Lineage: Eukaryota; Metazoa; Chordata; Aves; Anseriformes; Anatidae.
AUGAAGGGAACAACAACUCCUGCAAAGGGAAGGACGGCCAGGAGCUCAGCCCUGGGGAAGGCUGGAAGAGAAACUGGAAGGGGGGUGCAGCUACAGCUACUUUGGUUGUGCACAGGGAUGUGUCCAGUUGGAGGGUCAGCUUGGACAUCAGCCCAUCUCUCAAGGACCCAGCUCUCAAGGACAGAGCAGGAAACUGGAGCAGGACAGCAGCUCCUACCUGGCACCUAUCCCCACCACAUCUCUAUCAGCUCUUCCUCUAAGAGCGAGUCCUGCUCCCUGGUAGAGGCUGGGCAUUGCUUGCUCAGUAAUGCUGGGCAACUACUGGGUUUUAUUCCUUCACAUCUGUUCUUUCCUCCCCUAUUCUUCCUUUUAGGGAAGGGUCAAGAAAGCAAACUCUAGAAAGCGUUUGAAACCUGCCAGCCCCUUGGAGGCUGGAACAUUUUCCACUCGCAGGAAUGUUACUGGUUUAAGGCUAUAUGGCAAAUUGCUCAUUUAAAGCGAAGCUCGUGAAAUGUUAAUGUGUCCGUAUCCCUGCUAAGGCUGCAGGAUACUUUGGCUGCUGGUGAAAGUUUAAUCGUCCAAGCUAAAGUGAACAAUUUAGCUGAACAGUUGGUUUCAUGCUUCACUUACUGAACCACUCCGAGCCGCGAGGCUCCCCGUUAGCUGUGCUGGACACCGCUUGCUCUCCACGCGUGCCACUUGUGCCUGCUGCUCAGAUUCCUGUGUGCGCUGUUAAAUCGGCACUGCGAGGGACUAAGGUGGACAAGCCGACAGCUGGGAACUUCAGUCACUGCCCCAACAGCUGGCACUCACGGGAAGCGCCACGAUCUCUGCGGGUUGCCAGCAGAGGCGGCUCUGCCGAGGGCUGCUCGCUGGGGCUGGCUGGAGGCUCCAUCACUCGCACAGCUCUCCCGCUUUUGCUCCUUGGAUGAGAAGUUAUUUUUGGCUCUGUUUUGCUAUAUUAAAUAUUAGCUCUAGGCUUUCCCCUAUGUGCUGCGUAAUCCUGUUCUGUAUGGGUUUUUAUAUAUUGUUCUUUUGACAUUAUCACUAUUGCGUAUUAAUAAAUUAAACUUUCAAUUCA